This is a long non-coding RNA of Dreissena polymorpha, 448 nucleotides long. RefSeq lists it as uncharacterized. The transcript is spliced from 3 exons. NCBI's taxonomy places the organism in Eukaryota, Metazoa, Mollusca, Bivalvia, Myida, Dreissenidae. The record is from RefSeq and is a predicted model, not a curated record.
GAUGAUAUGUCCUAACAGCAUUUUGUCAUGUCAUUUACUGUACUUCUUAACCUACAUGUAUUUGAAUAUUCAGUCCCCAUAUAACUACGCCCAUAUGUUGUGGACAUUUUCAUACAAGAAUACAAACAGGAAUAUGUAUUGGAGUUUGCUGUUUAAAUUGACAGUCAAUCGGAGGGUAACAGGUGGACUUCAAUAUGUAUGAUCUACUUAUGCUGCCACAAUGUAAAGGCAACAAUCACUGGGUUUUGCUGGUUGCAAGUGUUAUGUCCAGGACUGUAACCAUUUACGACUCGUUGGGUGGUAACAACAAGGCCUUGUUCGAUUUGUUCUGCCAGUUCAUGUGUCAACGAGCGCAAAUUGUGAAAGAUGGCUUGGAAAAAUUCAGUUCAGAGUUCAAAGCGCCACCUUGCAACAAACAGCGCCAUGGAAACAGCUGUGGAGUGUUUGC